This 68-nucleotide transfer RNA is filed under the name Phascolosoma pacificum. Its description in RNAcentral is "tRNA-Arg". The record is from RNAcentral. Lineage: Eukaryota; Metazoa; Annelida; Sipuncula; Phascolosomatiformes; Phascolosomatidae.
GUUUAAGCGCAGAUUAUUCCUGCCUCUUGAUUUCGGCUCAAGAUGUGAAGAUAGCCCUUCCUUAUACU